RNAcentral lists this ribosomal RNA (253 nucleotides) under uncultured bacterium. RNAcentral's name for it is "partial 16S ribosomal RNA". It matches the Rfam family "Bacterial small subunit ribosomal RNA", at positions 524 to 776 of the family's 1533-position model. The record is from RNAcentral.
UACGCAGGGUGCAAGCGUUGUCCGGAAUUAUUGGGCGUAAAGAGCUCGUAGGCGGUCUGUUGCGUCGACCUUGAAAACCCGGGGCUCAACUUCGGGCUUGCGGUCGAUACGGGCGGGCUAGAGUUCGGUAGGGGAGACUGGAAUUCCUGGUGUAGCGGUGAAAUGCGCAGAUAUCAGGAGGAACACCGGUGGCGAAGGCGGGUCUCUGGGCCGAUACUGACGCUGAGGAGCGAAAGCGUGGGGAGCGAACAGG